GUGGGGAAUAUUCCGCAAUGGACGAAAGUCUGACGGAGCAACGCCGCGUGAGUGAUGAAGGUUUUCGGACUGUAAAGCUCUGUUGUUUAGGACGAAAGUGCCUGUUGCGAACAGUUUCAGGUAUUGACGGUACUAAACGAGGAAGCCACGGCUAACUACGUGCCAGCAGCCGCGGUAAUACGUAGGUGGCAAGCGUUGUCCGGAAUUAUUGGGCGUAAAGAGCAUGUAGGCGGAGAUUUAAGUCUGUUGUGAAAAUGCGGGGCUCAACCCCGUAUUGCGAUGGAAACUGAAUUUCUUGAGUGCAGGAGAGGAAAGUGGAAUUCCCAGUGUAGCGGUGAAAUGCGUAGAUAUUGGGAGGAACACCAGUGGCGAAGGCGCCUUUCUGGACUGUGUCUGACGCUGAGAUGCGAAAGCCAGGGUAGCGAACGGGAUUAGAUACCCUUGUAGUCC
RNAcentral lists this ribosomal RNA (450 nucleotides) under uncultured bacterium. RNAcentral describes it as "partial 16S ribosomal RNA". It matches the Rfam family "Bacterial small subunit ribosomal RNA", at positions 354 to 796 of the family's 1533-position model. The record is from RNAcentral.